Apus apus (common swift) is the source of this 637-nucleotide long non-coding RNA. RefSeq lists it as uncharacterized. NCBI's taxonomy places the organism in Eukaryota, Metazoa, Chordata, Aves, Apodiformes, Apodidae. The record is from RefSeq and is a predicted model, not a curated record. The transcript is spliced from 3 exons.
AAAGCUCCCCACCGAUUUUUACCUCACGCUCAGGGACGGCUGAGGGAGGCAGGAUCUCGCAGGAGACGUUCACAAACCGAGCUGAGAGCUCAGCAUCCUCAUGGACAAACAGAGAUGUGAUUGCCCCUCGUUAGCAUCUCCUUUCAAACUUCAGGUGUCUCCAAUGCCAUUUAAGAAGAGAGGAACUAGAAAACCAAGACAAUGGAAAUAAUGAGGAUAAAGAAAGCAAGGAGGCAAUGAAGACAUGGGGUAUGAGCAAGACAGCAAGCUUGAUAUAACAUCAAAAUUAGACCCAAGAUCAGAAAGUCCACAGGCAAGAAAAAUUCAGUUGAAUUCCAGUUACCACCAGCCAUAGUCACAGCAAUUACAGGUCAAAAAUAAAAAGGCAGAAUGAUGUUUUUUUUUCCUCAGCAGUAAAAAUGUCAUGUAAGGAGAAUCACCACCCAAGAAGGUAUGUCUGUCAGCUGACAGUGGCUUUGUUGUUCUUAAUCACAACCCAUACGCUUUUGGUACAGACCUGGCAGGUUUACAAUCUAAACCAAAGCUGCCUAAAAAAAAUCAAUAGAAAUUCUCUUGCUGAUUGUGGGGCAAGUUCCUCUGAGACGGUAUAAAGCAGGAGAAAGAACAUCUUAUGAAA